RNAcentral lists this ribosomal RNA (429 nucleotides) under Bacteroidota bacterium. Its description in RNAcentral is "Bacteroidetes bacterium partial 16S ribosomal RNA". It matches the Rfam family "Bacterial small subunit ribosomal RNA", at positions 355 to 776 of the family's 1533-position model. The record is from RNAcentral. Lineage: Bacteria; Pseudomonadati; Bacteroidota.
UAGGGAAUCUUCCGCAAUGGACGCAAGUCUGACGGAGCAACGCCGCGUGAGUGAAGAAGGAUAUCGGUUCGUAAAACUCUGUUGUUAGAGAAGAACAGCGCAUAGAGUAACUGUUAUGCGUGUGACGGUAUCUAACCAGAAAGCCACGGCUAACUACGUGCCAGCAGCCGCGGUAAUACGUAGGUGGCAAGCGUUGUCCGGAUUUAUUGGGCGUAAAGCGAGCGCAGGCGGUCAAUUAAGUCUGAUGUGAAAGCCCCCGGCUCAACCGGGGAGGGUCAUUGGAAACUGGUUGACUUGAGUGCAGAAGAGGAGAGUGGAAUUCCAUGUGUAGCGGUGAAAUGCGUAGAUAUAUGGAGGAACACCAGUGGCGAAGGCGACUCUCUGGUCUGUAACUGACGCUGAGGCUCGAAAGCGUGGGUAGCAAACAGG